GUGGGGCGGGCCGCGGGACGGUGAAGAGCUGCAGACACUUUCGGUGCGCUACCGGACCGUCGGCGACGGUUCGACCACCGGCGCUGUGCUC
RNAcentral lists this transfer RNA (91 nucleotides) under Mycobacteroides abscessus subsp. abscessus. RNAcentral's name for it is "tRNA-Cys(gca)". The record is from RNAcentral. Lineage: Bacteria; Bacillati; Actinomycetota; Actinomycetes; Mycobacteriales; Mycobacteriaceae.